RNAcentral lists this ribosomal RNA (484 nucleotides) under uncultured bacterium. RNAcentral's name for it is "partial 16S ribosomal RNA". It matches the Rfam family "Bacterial small subunit ribosomal RNA", at positions 30 to 507 of the family's 1533-position model. The record is from RNAcentral.
AUUGAACGCUGGCGGCAGGCCUAACACAUGCAAGUCGAGCGGAUGAAGGGUGCUUGCUCCUGGAUUCAGCGGCGGACGGGUGAGUAAUGCCUAGGAAUCUGCCUGGUAGUGGGGGAUAACGUCCGGAAACGGGCGCUAAUACCGCAUACGUCCUGAGGGAGAAAGUGGGGGAUCUUCGGACCUCACGCUAUCAGAUGAGCCUAGGUCGGAUUAGCUAGUUGGUGGGGUAAAGGCCUACCAAGGCGACGAUCCGUAACUGGUCUGAGAGGAUGAUCAGUCACACUGGAACUGAGACACGGUCCAGACUCCUACGGGCGGCAGCAGUGGGGAAGACUGGACAAUGGGCGAAAGCCUGAUCCAGCCAUGCCGGGUGUGUGAAGAAGGUCUUCGGAUUGUAAAGCACUUUAAGUUGGGAGGACGGGCAGUAAGUUAAUACCUUGCUGUUUUGACGUUACCAACAGAAUAAGCACCGGCUAACUUCGUG